CAGGAUUUCCCUGGAUCCCUGGAUUUGCUGCAGUGGCACCUGUGCUCUGCACACCUCACCUGGAACCUUUCCACCCCUCCUGCUGCUCCUGCAGGUGGUGACGGAGCAUCCCUGGACGUGGCACCGUGGAAAUGGCUGGAAAGGCCACCUGGGCCUUUGGUGCAAGUCUGCGGGAGCCCAUCUGGGCUCUUCCCUGUGGAAAAGCACAGGAAGGGUUUGGAUUGAAGGAUGGAGCUCUGUUUGUGUCCUUCAGGCAGAAAUCCCCACCGCGACCACGUUGCUGUGCUAAUGGAAAUAAAAGCAGGGCCAGACGUCACCAGGCUAAUUUUUCAUGGGCUGAUGAUGGGAAAAAAUUAGGGAUGCUAACUUUAGCUGGCAAAUCUUCCUGCAGCAAUAUCGUCUGA
This 404-nucleotide long non-coding RNA is filed under the name Cyanistes caeruleus (blue tit). RNAcentral describes it as "lncRNA (ENSCCEG00000018483.1)". The record is from RNAcentral. Lineage: Eukaryota; Metazoa; Chordata; Aves; Passeriformes; Paridae.